UCCCUGAUUAUCUAGUGGUUAGGAUUUGGUACUUUUACUGCCAUGGCCUGAGUUCAAUUCCUGGGCGGGGAA
This 72-nucleotide transfer RNA is filed under the name Bos taurus (domestic cattle). It matches the Rfam family "tRNA". Rfam says of the family: Transfer RNA (tRNA) molecules are approximately 80 nucleotides in length. Their secondary structure includes four short double-helical elements and three loops (D, anti-codon, and T loops). RNAcentral also lists the same sequence under 3 other names. The record is from Rfam by way of RNAcentral. Lineage: Eukaryota; Metazoa; Chordata; Mammalia; Artiodactyla; Bovidae.